CGCGUAGGUGGUUUGGUAAGCGAGAUGUGAAAGCCCCGGGCUUAACCUGGGAACGGCAUUUCGAACUGUCAGACUAGAGUGUGGUAGAGGGUAGUGGAAUUUCCUGUGUAGCGGUGAAAUGCGUAGAUAUAGGAAGGAACACCAGUGGCGAAGGCGGCUACCUGGACCAACACUGACACUGAGGUGCGAAAGCGUGGGGAGCAAACA
Molecule: ribosomal RNA, 207 nt
Filed under: uncultured bacterium
Lineage: Bacteria
Description: partial 16S ribosomal RNA
Rfam family: Bacterial small subunit ribosomal RNA
Source: RNAcentral